GGCUGCAAUAUAACAAAGAGUGAAAAAUGUAAGGGGGUCUGAAUACUUUCCGUACCCACUGUAUAUAAAUGUAACAAUAUAUAUACACACACAUAUUAUGUAAACAAACUUUUAUGUUAGAUGCGAUUAAUCUAUACACACCAUUUUUCAAGUAAAAAUCCUGAAAAAAAAAUCAGUUUCCACAAAAAUAUUAUGCAGCACAACUGUUUCAACAUUGAUAAGAAAUGUUUCUUGAGCACUAAAUCAGCUUAUUAGAAUGAUUUCUGAAGGAUCAUGUGACACUGAAGACUGAAGUUUUACAGUAUUUUUGAUCAGGCCUGGGUGAGUAAAAGAGACUUCUUUCAAAAACAUUUACUGACCCCAAACAUUUUUAAAUGUAAAUAUAUUUAAAUUUUUUAGACUAUUUUCCACACAUUUCUAUAUAUUUAUCUCUUCCUACAAAUACUAAACACAUGUUGUCUAAACACAUCUUUCACAGAUUCUGUUAAACUUGCGGUUUCUUUAUUUACCUGACCCCAAGGCCUCUAUACGUGAUGCAGAUCAUCAGCUCUCCAAUUUGUUCUGUGGGCCGGCUUUACACUCACUCAACUGGAAAGGCCCUGGAGCAUGUACACAUCUGAUUGGUUUUUCGGCUGUCAGCGGGAUACUGAGAGCGUACCUCUGUGUGAAGUCUGAGGUUUUGACUGAGAUGGAGUAACCUUUCAGAUGUUCAGUAACAUGUCAUGGACAUUUCUGGAAAGAGUUAAGAGUGAGAGGAUUUCUGUUGACUAUGAUUACUAUGAUCGUAUGAAUAUGAUGGACAAGGGGAAUUGACAGUAUCAAUAUUUUUGUAUGAUGUCCAUAGCAAGGUCAAAUACACUAACGCAUAUAAACUACUCUUCAUAAGUUUGGGAUUAGAACGAUUUUUUUUGUUUUUGUUGUUUUUGAAAUAAGUAUUUAAUGUUCACCAAGGCUGCGUUUAUUUGAUUAAAAAUACAGUAAAAUCAGUAAUAUUCUGAAAUAUUACAAUUUAAAAUAUCUAUCUAUGCUUCUGUUUAGUUAUCUCAUAUGCUUACAAUGUAGACAGGGCAUUAUUGUUGCCAAUAAGAUAAAUCCUGUAACUACUGUUGAAGUCCUAUGAAGGAUCACUGCCAAAUAAAAUAUUGAUUGAUUUUA
Ctenopharyngodon idella (grass carp) is the source of this 1155-nucleotide long non-coding RNA. RefSeq lists it as uncharacterized. Lineage: Eukaryota; Metazoa; Chordata; Actinopteri; Cypriniformes; Xenocyprididae. The record is from RefSeq and is a predicted model, not a curated record. The transcript has 2 exons.